GGCGGGGGUGUUCCUACCGGGGCAUAGGCGCUGGUCAGGGGUUGCUGCUCGCGCGGACUGUAAAUCCGCCGGCUCAGCCUUCCCAGGUUCGAAUCCUGGCGCUGCCA
Molecule: transfer RNA, 107 nt
Filed under: Streptomyces seoulensis
Lineage: Bacteria; Bacillati; Actinomycetota; Actinomycetes; Kitasatosporales; Streptomycetaceae
Description: tRNA-OTHER
Source: RNAcentral